UGUCAGUCUCACCAAUUUCUCAUAUACAUGUGUAGUGUGCUGACUUUGUUUGGGAAUGGGUGGUAUCGUGAAUGAGUGUGACACAAUUUCUUCGGUGGUCGCUACCAAUCUAGAAUGCCAAGCCAAUAGCCCAUAUGACCAUAUACUUCUGGAGCCUUUUAAGGCACCCAGAUGCGAAGCUACGGCUACUCGAUCUCAGUUGGAGUUUCUCAAGGAUGAUGAAUUUACGGAGGUGUUGGUCAGUCUAUGGGCGAUAUGGUGGGCUUGGCACAACAAUCAAGGAACAAGGAACAAGAAUAUCAGUCCCCA
Long non-coding RNA from Triticum aestivum (bread wheat), 309 nucleotides. RefSeq lists it as uncharacterized. The transcript is spliced from 2 exons. Lineage: Eukaryota; Viridiplantae; Streptophyta; Magnoliopsida; Poales; Poaceae. The record is from RefSeq and is a predicted model, not a curated record.